UGGACACAGGACCAGUUUGAUAAAGG
RNAcentral lists this non-coding RNA (26 nucleotides) under Mus musculus (house mouse). RNAcentral also lists the same sequence under 1 other name. Lineage: Eukaryota; Metazoa; Chordata; Mammalia; Rodentia; Muridae. The record is from RNAcentral.